ACUCAAAUGAAUUGACGGGGGCCCGCACAAGCGGCGGAGCAUGUUGCUUAAUUCGAGGCAACGCGAAGAACCUUACCUGGGUUUGACAUGCAGGGAAAAGCCGCAGAGAUGCGGUGUCCGCAAGGGCCCUGCACAGGUGGUGCAUGGCUGUCGUCAGCUCGUGUCGUGAGAUGUUGGGUUAAGUCCCGCAACGAGCGCAACCCUUGUCCUAUGUUGCCAGCGGGUAAUGCCGGGGACUCGUAGGAGACUGCCGGGGUCAACUCGGAGGAAGGUGGGGACGACGUCAAGUCAUCAUGCCCCUUACAUCCAGGGCUGCAAACAUGCUACAAUGGCCGGUACAAAGGGCUGCUAUCCCGCGAGGGUGAGCGAAUCCCAGAAAGCCGGUCUCAGUUCGGAUUGGAGUCUGCAACUCGACUCCAUGAAGCCGGAGUCGCUAGUAAUCCCGGAUCAGCAACGCCGGGGUGAAUACGUUCCCGGGCCUUGUACACACCGCCCGU
This 497-nucleotide ribosomal RNA is filed under the name uncultured bacterium. RNAcentral's name for it is "partial 16S ribosomal RNA". It matches the Rfam family "Bacterial small subunit ribosomal RNA", at positions 899 to 1397 of the family's 1533-position model. The record is from RNAcentral.